UUGCCGAUGCCAAACUGCCCGAUAUGCAAGCGGGAUGGGAGCAGGCCAUGUCAAAUGUCAUGGCCGGACUGACCGGAUUGAAUAUGGUCUAUGAAGCGG
This is a non-coding RNA of Planktomarina temperata RCA23, 99 nucleotides long. Lineage: Bacteria; Pseudomonadati; Pseudomonadota; Alphaproteobacteria; Rhodobacterales; Paracoccaceae. The record is from Rfam.